GGGUUGUGAGGUUAAGCGACUAAGCGUACACGGUGGAUGCCCUGGCAGUCAGAGGCGAUGAAGGACGUGCUAAUCUGCGAUAAGCGCCGGUAAGGUGAUAUGAACCGUUAUAACCGGCGAUUUCCGAAUGGGGAAACCCAGUGUGACUCGUCACACUAUCAUUAACUGAAUCCAUAGGUUAAUGAGGCGAACCGGGGGAACUGAAACAUCUAAGUACCCCGAGGAAAAGAAAUCAACCGAGAUUCCCCCAGUAGCGGCGAGCGAACGGGGAGGAGCCCAGAGCCUGAAUCAGCAUGUGUGUUAGUGGAAGCGUCUGGAAAGGCGCGCGAUACAGGGUGACAGCCCCGUACACAAAAGCGCAUGUGCUGUGAGCUCGAUGAGUAGGGCGGGACACGUGGUAUCCUGUCUGAAUAUGGGGGGACCAUCCUCCAAGGCUAAAUACUCCUGACUGACCGAUAGUGAACCAGUACCGUGAGGGAAAGGCGAAAAGAACCCCGGCGAGGGGAGUGAAAAAGAACCUGAAACCGUGUACGUACAAGCAGUGGGAGCACAGGUUUACCUGUGUGACUGCGUACCUUUUGUAUAAUGGGUCAGCGACUUAUAUUCUGUAGCAAGGUUAACCGAAUAGGGGAGCCGGAGGGAAACCGAGUCUUAACCGGGCGUUAAGUUGCAGGGUAUAGACCCGAAACCCGGUGAUCUAGCCAUGGGCAGGUUGAAGGUUGGGUAACACUAACUGGAGGACCGAACCGACUAAUGUUGAAAAAUUAGCGGAUGACCUGUGGCUGGGGGUGAAAGGCCAAUCAAACCGGGAGAUAGCUGGUUCUCCCCGAAAGCUAUUUAGGUAGCGCCUCGUGAAUUCAUCUCCGGGGGUAGAGCACUGUUUCGGCUAGGGGGCCAUCCCGGCUUACCAACCCGAUGCAAACUGCGAAUACCGGAGAAUGUUAUCACGGGAGACACACGGCGGGUGCUAACGUCCGUCGUGAAGAGGGAAACAACCCAGACCGCCAGCUAAGGUCCCAAAGUCAUGGUUAAGUGGGAAACGAUGUGGGAAGGCCCAGACAGCCAGGAUGUUGGCUUAGAAGCAGCCAUCAUUUAAAGAAAGCGUAAUAGCUCACUGGUCGAGUCGGCCUGCGCGGAAGAUGUAACGGGGCUAAACCAUGCACCGAAGCUGCGGCAGCGA
RNAcentral lists this ribosomal RNA (1180 nucleotides) under Salmonella enterica subsp. enterica. RNAcentral's name for it is "bacterial LSU rRNA". It matches the Rfam family "Bacterial large subunit ribosomal RNA", at positions 1 to 1211 of the family's 2925-position model. The record is from RNAcentral. Lineage: Bacteria; Pseudomonadati; Pseudomonadota; Gammaproteobacteria; Enterobacterales; Enterobacteriaceae.